This 477-nucleotide ribosomal RNA is filed under the name uncultured bacterium. RNAcentral describes it as "partial 16S ribosomal RNA". It matches the Rfam family "Bacterial small subunit ribosomal RNA", at positions 28 to 507 of the family's 1533-position model. The record is from RNAcentral.
GAUUAACGCUGGCGGCGUGCAUAACACAUGCAAGUCGAACGAUGAAACUUAAAUGAUUUCUUCGGAAUGAACUUAAGUGGAUUAGUGGCGGACGGGUGAGUAACGCGUGAGUAACCUGCCUUACACAAGGGGAUAGCCGUUGGAAACGACGAAUAAUACCCUAUGAAACUAUCACUUCGCAUGAAGCGAUAGUCAAAGUGUUAGCGGUGUAAGAUGGACUUGCGUCUGAUUAGCUAGUUGGUGAGAAAAAAGCCCACCAAGGCAACGAUCAGUAGCCGGCUUGAGAGAGUGUACGGCCACAUUGGGACUGAGACACGGCCCAGACUCCUACGGGAGGCAGCAGUGGGGAAUUUUGCACAAUGGGGGAAACCCUGAUGCAGCGACGCCGCGUGAUUUAGAAGGCCUUCGGGUUGUAAAAAUCUUUUGUAUAGGAAGAAAAUGACAGUACUAUACGAAUAAGGUUCGGCUAAUUACGUG